UGAUCUUGGGCUCCAGGUUGAACGCUGGCGGUAGGCCUAACACAUGCAAGUCGAACGGCAGCACAGUAAGAGCUUGCUCUUAUGGGUGGCGAGUGGCGGACGGGUGAGGAAUACAUCGGAAUCUACUUUUUCGUGGGGGAUAACGUAGGGAAACUUACGCUAAUACCGCAUACGACCUACGGGUGAAAGCAGGGGAUCUUCGGACCUUGCGCGAUUGAAUGAGCCGAUGUCGGAUUAGCUAGUUGGCGGGGUAAAGGCCCACCAAGGCGACGAUCCGUAGCUGGUCUGAGAGGAUGAUCAGCCACACUGGAACUGAGACACGGUCCAGACUCCUACGGGAGGCAGCAGUGGGGAAUAUUGGACAAUGGGCGCAAGCCUGAUCCAGCCAUACCGCGUGGGUGAAGAAGGCCUUCGGGUUGUAAAGCCCUUUUGUUGGGAAAGAAAUCCAGCCGGCUAAUACCUGGUUGGGAUGACGGUACCCAAAGAAUAAGCACCGGCUAACUUCGUGSCAGCAGCCGNCGGGUAAUACGA
This 531-nucleotide ribosomal RNA is filed under the name Stenotrophomonas sp. A2Y25. RNAcentral's name for it is "bacterial SSU rRNA". It matches the Rfam family "Bacterial small subunit ribosomal RNA", at positions 1 to 528 of the family's 1533-position model. The record is from RNAcentral. Lineage: Bacteria; Pseudomonadati; Pseudomonadota; Gammaproteobacteria; Lysobacterales; Lysobacteraceae.